This is a small nuclear RNA of Dermochelys coriacea (leatherback sea turtle), 196 nucleotides long. RefSeq annotates it as U2 spliceosomal RNA. The transcript has a single exon. NCBI's taxonomy places the organism in Eukaryota, Metazoa, Chordata, Testudines, Dermochelyidae. The record is from RefSeq and is a predicted model, not a curated record.
GUACCUUUCCUCUUAAGUUUAAUAAAAAUUUUAAAUCUGGUCUUAUCAAUUUAAUAUCUGAUAUGUCCUUUAUUUGAGGACUGUAUAUUAAAUUGAUUUUUGGAACAGGGGGGUGGAAUAGAAGCUUGCUCUGUCCAUCCCAAGCAUCAACCUGAUAUUGCAGGGGGAAAAAAAAAACGCAGGUGGAGUAGGGAGA